CCAGGGGCAACUCUGGUUCAGUGGCGGACGGGUGCGUAACACGUGAGGAACAUGACCUUCGGCGGGGGAUAGCCGGCCCAACGGCCGGGUAAUACCGCGUACGACCAUUAGGGGACAUCCCCCGGUGGUGAAAGCAGCAAUGCGCCGAUGGAGUGCCUCGCGGCCUAUCAGCUAGUUGGUGAGGUAACGGCUCACCAAGGCGACGACGGGUAGCUGGUCUGAGAGGAUGGCCCCCCACAUUGGGACUGAGAUACGGCCCAGACUCCUACGGGAGGCAGCAGUGGGGAAUCUUGCGCAAUGGCCGAAAGGCUGACGCAGCGACGCCGCGUGCGGGAUGAAGCUUUUCGGA
This 349-nucleotide ribosomal RNA is filed under the name uncultured bacterium. RNAcentral's name for it is "bacterial SSU rRNA". It matches the Rfam family "Bacterial small subunit ribosomal RNA", at positions 73 to 422 of the family's 1533-position model. The record is from RNAcentral.